RNAcentral lists this ribosomal RNA (614 nucleotides) under uncultured bacterium. Its description in RNAcentral is "bacterial SSU rRNA". It matches the Rfam family "Bacterial small subunit ribosomal RNA", at positions 143 to 753 of the family's 1533-position model. The record is from RNAcentral.
AUAACGCAGCGAAAGCUACGCUAAUACCGCAUAUUCCGUGAGCAGGAAAGCAGGGGAUCGCAAGACCUUGCGCUUUGGGAGCGGCCGAUGUCGGAUUAGCUAGUUGGUGGGGUAAGGCCUACCAAGGCGACGAUCCGUAGCGAGUCUGAGAGGAUGAUCCGCCACACUGGGACUGAGACACGGCCCAGACUCCUACGGGAGGCAGCAGUGGGGAAUUUUGGACAAUGGGCGGAAGCCUGAUCCAGCCAUGCCGCGUGAGUGAAGAAGGCCUUCGGGUUGUAAAGCUCUUUCGGCGGGGAAGAAAUUGCUUGGGUUAAUACCCCGAGUAGAUGACGGUACCCGAAUAAGAAGCACCGGCUAACUACGUGCCAGCAGCCGCGGUAAUACGUAGGGUGCGAGCGUUAAUCGGAAUUACUGGGCGUAAAGCGUGCGCAGGCGGUUUUGUAAGUCACAUGUGAAAUCCCCGGGCUCAACCUGGGAACUGCAUUUGAGACUGCAAGACUGGAGUUUGGCAGAGGGGGGUGGAAUUCCACGUGUAGCAGUGAAAUGCGUAGAGAUGUGGAGGAACACCGAUGGCGAAGGCAGCCCCCUGGGCCAAUACUGACGCUCAUGCA